This 74-nucleotide transfer RNA is filed under the name Scinaia undulata. RNAcentral's name for it is "tRNA-Thr". It matches the Rfam family "tRNA". Rfam says of the family: Transfer RNA (tRNA) molecules are approximately 80 nucleotides in length. Their secondary structure includes four short double-helical elements and three loops (D, anti-codon, and T loops). The record is from RNAcentral. Lineage: Eukaryota; Rhodophyta; Florideophyceae; Nemaliales; Scinaiaceae.
AGCCCUUAUAGCUCAAUGGUAGAGUAUCUCCUUGGUAAGGAGAAGGUUAUGAGUUCAAUUCUCAUUAAGGGCUU